Molecule: transfer RNA, 88 nt
Filed under: Pseudomonadota bacterium
Lineage: Bacteria; Pseudomonadati; Pseudomonadota
Also listed under: 1 other name
Description: Proteobacteria bacterium tRNA-Leu
Rfam family: tRNA
About the family: Transfer RNA (tRNA) molecules are approximately 80 nucleotides in length. Their secondary structure includes four short double-helical elements and three loops (D, anti-codon, and T loops). Further hydrogen bonds mediate the characteristic L-shaped molecular structure. tRNAs have two regions of fundamental functional importance: the anti-codon, which is responsible for specific mRNA codon recognition, and the 3' end, to which the tRNAs corresponding amino acid is attached (by aminoacyl-tRNA synthetases). tRNAs cope with the degeneracy of the genetic code in two manners: having more than one tRNA (with a specific anti-codon) for a particular amino acid; and 'wobble' base-pairing, i.e. permitting non-standard base-pairing at the 3rd anti-codon position.
Source: RNAcentral
GCGGAUAUGGCGGAACUGGUAGACGCGCCGGACUUAAAAUCCGUUGGGCAAUACGCCCGUGCCGGUUCGAUUCCGGCUAUCCGCACCA